UUUUUGAUAUCUCUUCCUUUUUUAUUUACAAAUAACAAAUUUUUUUAUACAGACAAACAUUUGACGAGUUGUUCUUCUGUUACAUUUAUUUUGCACAAAAAUCACAUUAAAUAUGUCUGAAAGCACACUUGUCAUAUUUAUUUUUUAUAUCAAGCCUACAUAUAUAUAAGUACAUCAUAUAUAUGUCAAAACUCCCAACUCC
Molecule: long non-coding RNA, 202 nt
Filed under: Vigna radiata
Lineage: Eukaryota; Viridiplantae; Streptophyta; Magnoliopsida; Fabales; Fabaceae
Description: long non-coding RNA (VRAD_LNC018055)
Source: RNAcentral